This is a long non-coding RNA of Rhagoletis zephyria (snowberry fruit fly), 971 nucleotides long. RefSeq lists it as uncharacterized. Lineage: Eukaryota; Metazoa; Arthropoda; Insecta; Diptera; Tephritidae. The record is from RefSeq and is a predicted model, not a curated record.
ACCGUCCAUACACCUGUUGGAUGACGACCUAUAGAUGGAUCUGUAUUUCCGCUCAGAAAUUUUUUUCAUAUCUUCAACGCUGCUAAGAAAAUGCACUCGAGACGUAGUCACGGCAUGAUUUCGAAAGAAGAAAAAGCCUUUAGUGACGCCUGGCUAUGGCUGAGUAUGACAAUUACCUUAGACUUAUGUACGUAUCUCCGCAUGCAGGGUAAGGACGUAAACUUCCGUUUGAAAAAUUAUCGACACCUUCUCAUUGACACCCAAAUGCUAGCUCUAGGGUUUUCAAGCAAUCUGUGUACACUAGUGUACUGUACUAAACUAGACACACCUAGUGACACACUUCAAUAUAAGCUAUUUCCACAAUAAACGUUUAGGUUAGAGAACGAUUAGAAAACGACUCGAAUUCUAAUAAGUUUCUCUAAGGUAGCAGGUUAGAAGACGAUUAGAGAAACUGUCCAGAAUUAUAGCAUUCUCUACAAAAAUGGGAUCUAGUUCUCAAUAUCGAGAAAGAGGUCCAAUGUUUUUCUAAUCAUUCUCUAAUCGAAUUCUAACAUAGUUCUCUAACCUGAUUUUCAAUUCGAGAACUAUAUAUGUAUGUAUAUUAGAAUUCUAAUGUAAAAUCAAAAUAUUUCCCUAACGUUAGAGACUGCGUUCGCUGGUUUACCUCAGAACUGGCAGUUAGUUAAUUUUUACAACUGACUUUAAAAGGCUUAAAUUUUUUGUUCUCAAAAUACCUUUUUAUGGAUGUGGAUGCAUACAUUUCAUGGAAGCAGAUACAAAUGGUGUAAGUCCGGUAGACUUUAGUUAACCCUCUAAAAUACAUAAAUUUGUUUUUCCUUUCGUUUUCCAUCUAUUUUAUUGUUGUGUUGUUUGGUGAUUGCACCGUUAUGUAGGAUUCGGAGACGUCUGGCGACUACAAAAAUGCCUUAACUGCACUGCUGGGCGGAGCUUAAUCGGUGUUGAAAUUUCCA